GAAAGCAGAGACUAGAUACUGGAGAUUAGAGACUAGAGGGAACAAAGAGACAUAAAAAGCACUUAAGUGCUUUAGAGUGUCUACGAAGAUGAACCCUGGAGUCUGGUGUCUAGUUUCUGGUAUCUAGUUUCUGCUUUAGUGGCGGACGGGUGAGUAACGCGUGGGCAACCUGCCUUAUACAGGGGGAUAACACUGGGAAACUAGUGCUAAUACCGCAUAACAUCAAAUGGUGGCAUCACCGAAUGAUCAAAGGAGCAAUCCGGUAUAAGAUGGGCCCGCGUCCGAUUAGCUAGUUGGUGGUGUAACGGACCACCAAGGCGACGAUCGGUAGCCGAACUGAGAGGUUGAUCGGCCACAUUGGAACUGAGACACGGUCCAGACCCCUACGGGAGGCAGCAGUGGGGAAUAUUGCACAAUGGAGGAAACUCUGAUGCAGCAACGCCGCGUGAAGGAUGAAGGUCUUCGGAUUGUAAACUUCUUUGAUUGGGGACGAAUAAUGACGGUACCCAAGGAACAAGCCACGGCUAACUACGUGCCAGCAGCCGCGGUAAUACGUAGGUGACAAGCGUUGUCCGGAAUUACUGGGUGUAAAGGGCGUGUAGGCGGGACUGUAAGUCAGAUGUGAAAUUCCAAGGCUUAACCUUGGCGCUGCAUCUGAAACUAUGGUUCUUGAGUGCUGGAGAGGAAAGCGGAAUUCCUAGUGUAGCGGUGAAAUGCGUAGAUAUUAGGAGGAACACCAGUGGCGAAGGCGGCUUUCUGGACAGUAACUGACGCUGAGGCGCGAAAGCGUGGGGA
Molecule: ribosomal RNA, 795 nt
Filed under: uncultured Clostridia bacterium
Lineage: Bacteria; Bacillati; Bacillota; Clostridia
Description: bacterial SSU rRNA
Rfam family: Bacterial small subunit ribosomal RNA
Source: RNAcentral